This 353-nucleotide long non-coding RNA is filed under the name Zostera marina. Its description in RNAcentral is "long non-coding RNA (ZMAR_LNC005989)". The record is from RNAcentral. Lineage: Eukaryota; Viridiplantae; Streptophyta; Magnoliopsida; Alismatales; Zosteraceae.
UGCCAUCAUCUGCAGAGUAUUCUUUCCAAUCAGAGGAGGAACUCUGAGAUCUAGAUCUGAAAGAUGCCUUCCAGAAAUGUUCACGAUUUGGUUCGUAAUUUGUUCUAUUCCAAUGUACUUUCUCAUCUUUGUCACGUUUAAACGAACCCUUUCCAUCAUUUUCCUUGCAGAAAGACCAAUAGAAAUCUCGAGGCUUUCGAAAAGCUGAUCUAAAUUUCAUUUCACAUUUAUCUUCGUCUGAAUCACUCCAGAAUAAGGUUUGAGAUCCUUUCUCUGUUUUAACAAAAUAAAUAUAUAGCCAAAUUAUUGACGUCCAAUAUAUGUAACAGACAGACAUGUCAGGAAUUUGAAAG